This 826-nucleotide long non-coding RNA is filed under the name Linum usitatissimum (flax). RNAcentral describes it as "long non-coding RNA (LUSI_LNC003514)". Lineage: Eukaryota; Viridiplantae; Streptophyta; Magnoliopsida; Malpighiales; Linaceae. The record is from RNAcentral.
GGGCCUGAUGAUGUCAGCGAUUACGUCGUCAUCAUCGUCCCCAAUUUUGGGAAUUCAACUUUCCCUCUUUUUCCCCGAAAGUCCCGACCAUCUCCCGUCCUCCCCCCUUUCUUUCCUCUUGUUGAUUCAGGGAGAUAUCCUCCUUCCCUAAUCGACUGAAGUGGCGUGAGAUCGCGAGUUUAAAGGCAUUCAAUCUGUAUUACUAUCUGUCUCUCGCUAAAUCGAUUUGAAUCACAAGAACACUCUCCUUCUAGAUCACUCGGCUGACGCCGACUGGACGAACCUCCACGAGUUUGGAAGACGAAGGAAAAGAGUUCCCCGACGACGAUUCCGCUUCCGAAGACCUCUCGUUGGUUAACUUCCAGCCGGUUUAGACCCUUAACAGAGAAAUCGGAAACUCCCGACAACUAUUCAAAGCCUUCGAUUUGAAACCUCAAGAACGACCCAAGCCCUCCAAUAUAUUAGGAAAUUUACGGAAUAAGGUCAGGAAUCGAGUCUCGUGGGGAUUAUUCGAUCGUCUGAGCCUCGCCGGUGUCUCGCCAGAAUUCUGGGCUUUCUUCAAGUUCAUUGGAGAAGAUGGCCGCCUAAUAUCUGUGGCGGAACCUAUAGGUUUCAGUAAUUUCUAUUCAGUCACUGGACUUCCAGAAGUUAGAAUCAGUGCCUUAAGUCUUAGUAAACUGUGUUAUGUAAAUAAACUGUUAAAAUCUAACAUUGUGGUAAUGAACUAUUUCCUUGUUACUCUCAUAGUCUGUAACUUUCUGGUUGUGACAUAACAAACCCAAAUAGUUUUCUAAGUAGUUUAAUAUAAUAGAAAUCCGGAAAAUUU